Molecule: long non-coding RNA, 938 nt
Organism: Lathyrus oleraceus (garden pea)
Lineage: Eukaryota; Viridiplantae; Streptophyta; Magnoliopsida; Fabales; Fabaceae
Exons: 3
Source: RefSeq, a predicted model, not a curated record
GUGUAGGUUUUUUGUUUAAUUAUUGUGAUAUUCAUGAGUCUUAGAUUUGCAUGUGUGAGAGUUGCAGUUUUUUUGUAUAAUUCUAACAGACAACAAAAGGUGAAAAGAUAUAUAGCGUUGAUGUAGCUGCUAUAGCUGAUGCCGCAACUGGAAAAGAGGGAGAAGAAAAGGUCAAGCUCCACACACUCUUACUGUUGUCUAGAUUAUGCACAGAUAUAAGAUCUGGUUAGAUACAAACUACAUUGCAUGAAGCAUAACUGAAAGAUGAACCGGAGAACAAAAACACUAUUCAGAAAUACAUAUACAUAAACUGUGGAAAAAAGGUACAAUGCUUUGGAUGCACUGCGGUUAAUAUCUUUUGAAGACGAGAAGUUUCAUUGUGAACAUUGUAAUGGAAAACUAGAAGUUGAAAGUGAUAAGUUAGAUAUUCAAGAAGGGGAGAUGGAUAUGUGAUUACCACAUAAUAUUUUACAUUUUCCAAUUCGAUUCACUUAACACUUGAUGUUAUUUUGUCACAUUUUUGUAGUGUUAUGUUGGUAGUUUGUGUUUGUUUCAGGUACUUUAAAGGUAGAAGCCGGUACGCAAGAAAACGGGUGAAACGGAGAAGAAAUGAAGAAAAUGUACUGGUGGCGACCUCCGUGGUGUUCGCCAUGACGUGACAGCCAUGAAUCGCCACCCACCUUGAAGAAAUUGCAAAAAAAUAGACCUUGAAGUUGAUGGUGUGCGCCAUGACCCCUAGUCAACCCACAUUCACCAAGUUAUCACUCAUGGCGCUUGUCAUGAGGUCAUGGUGUACGCCAUGGGCUUUAGGAGCUGAAAAAUGGCAACUGCAUGGAAUGAGUUUCUACCACUUCCCCUACCUUUCUACCACUUCCUUAAUACGAAUUUUGGACAGUUUCUACUAGUUAUAACACUAUAUAAAGCCAUGUUUUUUAGGU